CUACGGGUUGCUCCAGUGAGGAAUAUUGCACAAUGGAGGAAACUCUGAUGCAGCAACGCCGCGUGGAGGAUGACGCAUUUCGGUGUGUAAACUCCUUUUAUAUGUCAAGAAAAUGACGGUAGCAUAUGAAUAAGCUCCGGCUAACUCCGUGCCAGCAGCCGCGGUAAUACGGAGGGAGCAAGCGUUACUCGGAAUCACUGGGCGUAAAGGACGCGUAGGCGGGAUAGAAAGUCAGGUGUGAAAUCCUAUGGCUCAACCAUAGAACUGCACUUGAAACUUCUAACCUAGAGUAUGGGAGGGGAGGAUGGAAUUAGUGGUGUAGGGGUAAAAUCCGUAGAUAUCACUAGGAAUACCAAAAGCGAAGGCGAUCUUCUGGAACAAUACUGACGCUAAGGCGUGAAAGCGUGGGGAGCAAACAGGAUUAGAUACCCCCGUAGUC
This 439-nucleotide ribosomal RNA is filed under the name uncultured bacterium. RNAcentral's name for it is "partial 16S ribosomal RNA". It matches the Rfam family "Bacterial small subunit ribosomal RNA", at positions 339 to 795 of the family's 1533-position model. The record is from RNAcentral.